UGCUGGAGGUAUCAGAAGUGCGAAUGCUGACAUAAGUAACGAUAAAGCGGGUGAAAAGCCCGCUCGCCGGAAGACCAAGGGUUCCUGUCCAACGUUAAUCGGGGCAGGGUGAGUCGACCCCUAAGGCGAGGCCGAAAGGCGUAGUCGAUGGGAAACAGGUUAAUAUUCCUGUACUUGGUGUUACUGCGAAGGGGGGACGGAGAAGGCUAUGUUGGCCGGGCGACGGUUGUCCCGGUUUAAGCGUGUAGGCUGGUUUUCCAGGCAAAUCCGGAAAAUCAAGGCUGAGGCGUGAUGACGAGGCACUACGGUGCUGAAGCAACAAAUGCCCUGCUUCCAGGAAAAGCCUCUAAGCAUCAGGUAACAUCAAAUCGUACCCCAAACCGACACAGGUGGUCAGGUAGAGAAUACCAAGGCGCUUGAGAGAACUCGGGUGAAGGAACUAGGCAAAAUGGUGCCGUAACUUCGGGAGAAGGCACGCUGAUAUGUAGGUGAAGUCCCUCGCGGAUGGAGCUGAAAUCAGUCGAAGAUACCAGCUGGCUGCAACUGUUUAUUAAAAACACAGCACUGUGCAAACACGAAAGUGGACGUAUACGGUGUGACGCCUGCCCGGUGCCGGAAGGUUAAUUGAUGGGGUCAGCGCAAGCGAAGCUCUUGAUCGAAGCCCCGGUAAACGGCGGCCGUAACUAUAACGGUCCUAAGGUAGCGAAAUUCCUUGUCGGGUAAGUUCCGACCUGCACGAAUGGCGUAAUGAUGGCCAGGCUGUCUCCACCCGAGACUCAGUGAAAUUGAACUCGCUGUGAAGAUGCAGUGUACCCGCGGCAAGACGGAAAGACCCCGUGAACCUUUACUAUAGCUUGACACUGAACAUUGAGCCUUGAUGUGUAGGAUAGGUGGGAGGCUUUGAAGUGUGGACGCCAGUCUGCAUGGAGCCGACCUUGAAAUACCACCCUUUAAUGUUUGAUGUUCUAACGUGGACCCGUGAUCCGGGUUGCGGACAGUGUCUGGUGGGUAGUUUGACUGGGGCGGUCUCCUCCUAAAGAGUAACGGAGGAGCACGAAGGUUGGCUAAUCCUGGUCGGACAUCAGGAGGUUAGUGCAAUGGCAUAAGCCAGCUUGACUGCGAGCGUGACGGCGCGAGCAGGUGCGAAAGCAGGUCAUAGUGAUCCGGUGGUUCUGAAUGGAAGGGCCAUCGCUCAACGGAUAAAAGGUACUCCGGGGAUAACAGGCUGAUACCGCCCAAGAGUUCAUAUCGACGGCGGUGUUUGGCACCUCGAUGUCGGCUCAUCACAUCCUGGGGCUGAAGUAGGUCCCAAGGGUAUGGCUGUUCGCCAUUUAAAGUGGUACGCGAGCUGGGUUUAGAACGUCGUGAGACAGUUCGGUCCCUAUCUGCCGUGGGCGCUGGAGAACUGAGGGGGGCUGCUCCUAGUACGAGAGGACCGGAGUGGACGCAUCACUGGUGUUCGGGUUGUCAUGCCAAUGGCACUGCCCGGUAGCUAAAUGCGGAAGAGAUAAGUGCUGAAAGCAUCUAAGCACGAAACUUGCCCCGAGAUGAGUUCUCCCUGACCCUUUAAGGGUCCUGAAGGAACGUUGAAGACGACGACGUUGAUAGGCCGGGUGUGUAAGCGCAGCGAUGCGUUGAGCUAACCGGUACUAAUGAACCGUGAGGCUUAACC
This 1672-nucleotide ribosomal RNA is filed under the name Escherichia coli. RNAcentral describes it as "bacterial LSU rRNA". It matches the Rfam family "Bacterial large subunit ribosomal RNA", at positions 1271 to 2925 of the family's 2925-position model. The record is from RNAcentral. Lineage: Bacteria; Pseudomonadati; Pseudomonadota; Gammaproteobacteria; Enterobacterales; Enterobacteriaceae.